CCUUGGCAACGAUGGUUAGCGGGUCUGAGAGGAUGAUCCGCCACACUGGAACUGGAAUACGGACCAGACUCCUACGGGAGGCAGCAGUGAGGAAUAUUGCGCAAUGGGGNAAACCCUGAGCAGCGACGCCGCGUGGAUGAUGAAGGCCUUANGGNCGUAAAAUCCUGUCAGAAGGNAANAAAUGGUU
This 187-nucleotide ribosomal RNA is filed under the name marine snow associated bacterium AdriaticR16. RNAcentral's name for it is "partial 16S ribosomal RNA". It matches the Rfam family "Bacterial small subunit ribosomal RNA", at positions 268 to 455 of the family's 1533-position model. The record is from RNAcentral.